AAAAAAUAAAAUAAAAUUCCGCGAAAGUCUUUUAAUGUUUUUGACGCAUUUAAGUCAUUUCAAAACAUGACGUCAUACAAAUGAAAACGCUACAGUUGAACGUUUUCUGAAAAGUGAACCAUCGAAAUUCGUAUAAUAUUGUAUUAAAAUUGAUUUGUAAGGUAGGUUUUGUUUUGUUUUCUAUUCUAUUGCAUUUUUCGCAUAUUUACUGAUUUCAGCAAGUCAACAUGGCGGCUCCUUAGUUACAAAAUGUCAACUUUGGAUUUGACGGUAGCUUACGAGAAAAACAUGUAAAUUAAAAAUGGCAAAUGUUGGGUUUGUGAAUUUAAAGAAUUAAACAGAUUUUUUUUUCUAGCGGUUAUUCACUAAACAAUCCAUGCAAGCUACAGAUUUUAUGAAUAUUUGAGCUUUAUCGAACCGGGAGUAAAAAAAGAACAGCCACACACACAGCAUACCUACCAUCGCUUCAGUUUUUUAAUGACCGUAUUUGUCCUAUUAGAAUCGAAAUAAUUCAUGGAAGCCAUAGAUUGUUGGAAAUUUACACAUGGCCUGGGCCGUGAUAUUCGUUAAUUUUAUCCCUCGCGAACGCUCAGGAUAAAAUUCGAAUAUCACGGCCCAGGCCAUGUGUAAAUU
Molecule: long non-coding RNA, 633 nt
Filed under: Mytilus galloprovincialis (Mediterranean mussel)
Lineage: Eukaryota; Metazoa; Mollusca; Bivalvia; Mytilida; Mytilidae
Source: RNAcentral